Molecule: non-coding RNA, 7899 nt
Organism: Struthio camelus australis
Lineage: Eukaryota; Metazoa; Chordata; Aves; Struthioniformes; Struthionidae
Source: RefSeq, a predicted model, not a curated record
UUAACUGCAUUUAGCAGGUGUGAAAAGUCCAGCGCACGGAAAAGUGAAAGACUAGCCAACAGCCGAGCCAAGAAUAGAGCCUGCUCUUGCUUUUUCCACCAGACCACUCUACCUCUCACAAACGUCACACUGCAAGGUUACUUUUCUUGCCAGGAGCUGUAAGAAGGAAUUUUUUUCCACCAAGUAAGCAACAGUGGGGCAGCAAGGGCUUUCUUAGGCCCCACACUAGCCUCCUCUUGCCCCUCCCGGAUCGCCGAUGGAGAUGUCUGGGCAUGAACUAGCGGAGCAGGGGGCCUUUGAGAUGCAGGUGAUUGUCCAAGAGUCAUCAGUGACAGAAGGAUUUACAGCUCUUUCCAGAGAUAUGUGUGCAGCAGCCGUGGUGCUUUGUCUACCAGCCAGACCAGCAGCCCAGGCAGCUGAGCCAGAGGAGCCAGGACUUCCUCAGCAGCUUCAGCAAGCCUGCUGCUUCCAGCAGCGCUGUGUAGGAAACGGUGACUGUGCUCCUUUUCUUGUCGGUUGUGAGUGCGUACUGCAUCAGAAGAAGUACAAAUGGCACCUGUCUAUUCCCAGCAGGCUGCCAACACCAUGGCCUACCAUGGCCUGCUUCGUACCUGGAUCCCAGCCUGUUCCACCUGCAAAGCUCUUGGCUGUGCCAGAUUGUAAAAUGUCUUCCUUGAAUAUUGAGCCCUGCGUGGCUUUCUCAAAAAGAGCAUUCUGCAUUUCAGUAACUGAGGUUUUUAAUGCAGAAAAAUCAGUGCCAGGUGGUUAGGUUCAGAGCCUUUUAAUGUUGUGUUCAUUAAAAUCUCAUCGCGGUAGAUUUUUUUCAGUAAAAUCUUUGAAAAGCUUUUUAUGUCAACAAAUCCUAGAAAAGCUUUUUAUAUCAAUAUUAAUCAUACAAAGCCUUUUUUAAUAUCAGCGUAACUUCUAAAGGCUUUCCUAACUAUAAAACCUUUAUCAAUGCAGUUUCUAAAUUUAUUAUGAGCCAUAUAAAGGUAAUAACCAAAGCACAAGCAAGCAGCACAUUGCAAAGUAUGAAUUAAAAAAAAACUAUUGCUUUCUUAUAAACCUGAAACUCUACAAAACAACAUUAAUGUUGUGGUGAGCCUUAAGUACACCCCUAGAGAAUGUGAAAUGUAAUAUCAGAGACAGAGAAUGUCUGUACAGGGACACAGCCAUUACAGGUUGGGGCUGCCUUUUCUGUGGCCUUAAGCAAGGGCUCAUACCCUUCCUACCCUCCCCACUGUGUAAAACAUCAGGAAGUGCAGUGAUGAAUAAGAUCCAUGCAUAAGGCUUGUGAUUCCUCAUAGCCUCUUAAAUUGGAUUUUAUCUUGCUGUUUUAUCAUAUUUACUAGAGAAGAUGCUCCAGGGCCAACAGAAGUGCAAAUGCAAUUAUCAUUCAUCUACAUCUUCCGUUCCAUGUUGCGCUACUGUUCGUAAUUAGAUACUUGCCUGUUGGAGUUGAGCCCUGUACAGUUCUUGAACUGGCAAAUGAAAUGAUACUACCACAAAAUAAUUUAAAUUGGAAGGGGGUCACCUAGUCACCAACCCAAAGCAUGUCCAACUAGAACAGGUUGCUCGGGACUUUGUCCAGUCAUGUUUUGAACAUCUCCAAAGAAGGAGAUUUCACAUCCUCUCUGGGCAACCUGUGCCAAUUUUAACCAUUCUCAAGGAGCAAAUUUUUUUCCUAAUAUCUAAUUGGGAUUUCCCUUGUGCCUGUUGCCUUUUGUCUCACCACUGUCUGCCUCCUAAAAGAAUCUGGCUCUGUCUUCUCUACCUUCUCUUCUAGGUAGUUAUAGACAGUAUUAAGGUCUCCCCUUAGCCUUCUCUUCUUAAGGCUGAAACAACCCAGCUCUUUCAGCCUCUCCUUGUAUGUCCUGAGCUUUAGCUCCCUGAAUGACUUAGUGACCCUCUGCCAGACUCAUAUGAGUCAUGCAUGCUCAGACAAGCAGCAUGCAGUGCAUUUGAUAAUGCUGGGAACCGGGAAGAUUAAAUACUCCUGCACACCAAUAAAUAUUUAAGGAAAAGUAGAAAAGAACUUACUGUGUCCAGGCUUCCUAAAAGUAGAAAAAGACUCUAGAGAGGAUGCAUCCAGACUAAGAGUUUUUUGGUAUUGUGAAAACUGAAUGAGGUACCUUCUACUCUGAUCUACAAGGACACCACUUGCAUCAACCACUGCCAACUCCUACCUGAUUUGAUUGUAAAGAGAACAGAGAAGAUGUUCAAGGAGCUUGCGGAGGCCUCUCUGGAGCAUGGGAGAGUAGCUUAGAAACGAAGUGGUUGAAGACUCCUGAUAAUUCAAGUAUCACAAAUAUGUUUGGGAUAAGCCACAAAAAUGCUGCUCUAAGGUCAAGACUACUGCUGGAGUGAGUGACUGCUUCCUAGCAUGAAGGGGCAAAAAGGAGGCUUCAGUGGACUUGCUUCCAGUGUCUGCCAGUGCCUGUGAGUGCAGUUCAGGCCCUCUGUAUUUGGGAUCUUUAAAAUAUCACCAAGAAGAAAUGACCUUUCUGUGUAGCCCAGAAGUGGUUGUUUUAGAGUCUUUUAGUGGGUUUUGAAGUGGAAAAACCAACAGUCAAAAUGGAAGGAUUAUUUCCCUCUUUCCUUGUAUGGGCUUCAGGGUGGCUGAAAUCUGGAGGGAUUUUCAUCACUGUCUACUUGAAGUGAGAAACUGCAGGAUUGCGCUCAGUAAAAAUGCUCCAGUUCUCCAAGGUGUGGAGCAGUCAUUUCUGCCUUCACUGUUGGCCAAUCUGCGGCUGCUCUAUGCCUGUGUGAAGCAUGUUCAUUCUGCAUGUGUCUCCGUAGCAGCUGGCUUGUGGGUGUUCAUAAAAAAAGUCACUUAAAUGUGUAAAAAGAAUGACAGGUUGAUUUUGUUAAAGGAAACCCUCCCUUUUAUUUUUUUCCCCUUACUCUCCCCUUAAGUGUAACUGUUGCAUAGAGGUGUCUGGCUUGCAUCGUAGUGUGUUGAUGCAUGGAUCGUCCACUGAAAAAGAGCCAUCCUUGCAAUCAGAGUGGAACUUUGGCUUAGCACAGAUAUAGCCCCCUACUUUCCCUAAAAGAGUCCUUAAGCACAACAAGGCAUUGUGCAGUCUAUCAGCUUUUUAAAAAUAAAUUGUAAUUUAUCUGCCAUGAUCCCUGUGAAAAAGGCAGACCCCAUUUUCCAGCACACAGCAGAUUAAAUGGCCACUGUGAUAUAUGCAGAUUCUUCUCUCUCUGAGUUCGUCUCAGCUAGCAUUAGGUAUGAGAAAAUCCAUAUGGUACUAUACAUGGAGGUUCUUGUUAUUAUAUUAUUUUAUUUUUCAAAUAUUUUCCAGUGUCCCCAGUUAAAACAGCGUUUUUAUUGUGAUGCAUGUGAUGCUUAAGAGGUGAAGCUGUUUCCUAUUUGUUUUGAUUUAUGUCAUUUCAUUUAGGCUUAGAAUUUUUAAGCAAGUUCUAACAGAAUGCAGUGUUCACUAACAUCUGGAUGAUUUUGUACAUUUCUCAGCUAUCUAAGCCUCAUUAUGACAGUUAAUACUAAUUCACCACGUUUCUGAGAUUUUUACAGGUCAUCUACAGCAAUAGCAUUUCUGCCCUUCAGUGGAAUUAAGACUUUUAAAGUGUUUUUUACCAAUGUAGGGUUACAGAUAUAUUAAAAAGUUUUAUAAAUGUUGGGGUGAAGCUGGCUUAUUUUGAGCCCCUGAAAGCCAUUGCAUUCUCACUUGGGUCCUGUGCUGUGCAACCCCCUUUCCCAAGGUCCUAUUUAGUUUGCAGUAUCUGUCUCCCUUCUCCCAGCAGAGGGCAUGUCCCAUCUGACAGCUGUGCUGGGUUGAGCCAAACUGUGCUGGGAUUUUGUGCAAAUUUAGGCACUCGGUGUCACUCCAUUUUUUCUCUUAGCUCUGAAACUGAACACAGCACUCUGAAUGCUGAAAGACCACUGCAAGUCCAUCCGAAACCGAUGAUUAUUGCCAUUAUUUAACAUUUAUGCUCUUCUACAACCUCAAUGCAAUGUUCUUUCUUCCAGAAGCUUAGAUAAAACCAUAACACUUAUAGAAAAUAUUUUUGUACUGAUUUUAGCCCUGAGCCUGUGUUCCAAGCCAUCUGAAUGGAGUUGUGAAACCUCCACACAGUGACUGUGGGCUGCUUUCAGAAAUAGUGCUCAAUCAAGUCAUUGAACCUCUGCUGCUUAAUAAGUCAAGAUAGAUCCAGUACUGUGCUGUGAAAUGGUUCAGAAAGUGGGUAAACCAUGACAGAAGUAAAGGUGAUAGUAAUAAAGGCCUUCGAAAUGUCAUGAGGACUCUGCUUUUCCAGAAGAGUUCAUCUGCAUCGUGCUAUCCCUGUUCUCUUAUGCAGGUGUGUUUCCUAGUACAGUAGAUUCCAGAUUAGGGCUCUUAGACUCUUCACUAAAAAUUAAUAGCAAAGAAAUAUCUUAAAAAUCCAAGUACUCCAGAAAACAGUGGCUCCUUUCCAGUGACUGGCUUCAUGUAUCCUAUUCCUGGAGCAUGUGCUCCACGCACGCAAAGUAGACUAAGCGUCAGCAAAGUUACAAGGGCAAAACCUUCCUCAGAGAGACUGAUGCACCAGAACAGGAGUCUAACGUCACCUCUGUGAACGGUCCCAUGACCAGCCUCCCUAAGAAAGUGUUACUCUUUAUGAAUCCCUCUCUUAAUGUCAGUUGGGAUGUUGCUUUCAUCCAGCCAGGCCUUUGCUUAGAGCUGUAUAGAAUAUAUUGUGCAGAGGUGUUGGAUGACGACAUAUCCCUUCUUUUAAGGCUGUCCUUUAUUUUUUGAGGUAUUCCUGAGGGUGAUUACUUCUUCCUUUUUCUGAGUCAUCACUUCAUUGGUUGCCUGAAUAAAAGGUAGUUUGACUCAGUUCAACACCUGAAGAGUGCUGAUAAACAAUAAAUUCAUUAAGUCUUGUUUUCAGUGUAGAAUUCAGCUGAAAGAAACCUAGGGCCUUAACAAAAGCUAGCUAAAAAUCUCAAAAAAUGCUUUUCUCCUUGAGCUGUGUUUAGACUUGAAUGAAUUGCACAUCAAUAGGAAGAGUUAUGUGUUUGAUCAUUUUCCCAUUGAACGUGUUAUGAACAUCUGUAAGGAACUUUUACUCAGGGGAAGAAGACUUCUGGAAAUGUUUUCUUUUAGCCAACAAAUACUUGCCACAAAUGAACACUAUAUAUUUCAUUGCAAGGUGGGUUCAAGGUACAAAAAAAGUUUUUAAAUAUGAUAACAUGGCGGGUCUUUCUGGCAGGCCCCUGAGCACUCCCAGAUAGACCCCCUCACCAGAGCUCUGUGGAAAUUUUCAUGCAAACUUAGUGGCUGUGUGAAAAGAGAACGAUGAGCUGUUCUGAGCUGCUCUGCAGUGGCUGGAGGAUUAUUCUGUGUGCCAAAGCUCUAGAGAGGGAAAGCCUCUAAGCCCUGCAGUAGAACUUCGAAGACAAAAGUGCUCCCUUGGAGCUUAGCAUAGCGACAAGGACUGAAGCACAACAGACACCUCAGGGGAAAACACUCUCAAAUAAUGUGAGGGACUCAAUAAGAUUCUGCUGGAAGUCUGCAGUGUGAAGAAUGAAGAGACUGGUCAGAAGAAGACAAAGAUCUGGGAAUGACUGAGAGAAGCAGUGUGAGUAACAACUCCUCUGGAGGGAGUUCUGUUUGCUGUUUCAUCUGUUUCAUCUUCUCAGCUGCCUUGGUUGAAAUCAAGUCAUAUAUACUUGAUCUCAGAUGUUAAGAUUUACAAGUACAUGGCACAUGCAGAAAGAGACAAUCCUAAAUUUCUCAGUCUCUAUAUGGAUAUAUGUUCUACUCCCUAUGAAAUGCAAAACGGUGCACGGGAAUGAAUUUCCAGCAAAGCUGAAAUCUACCUAAAAGAAUUGCAUUAUCUGCAAGAUAGCAUUAUCUGUGUACUCAGACUUUCAAUAUCUAAAGAAGAUUAAUUACAUAUAUCAUCAGGGAGUAAAUACCAACAGCGUGGGACACUAUAUUUGGAGCUUAUUGACUCAGUAUUCAGAGGUGCAAAACUGAUACAGUUGAUCACCAUCCAACUUUGUGCCCAAAUAUUGGUCCUGUAUGCUUGGUUCAUUGAUUUAUAUCCCUGUGUGGAUUGUGACCAUGAUAAUGUCUUCAGUGAUUACAUUUCAUCUGUAAGAAAAGAUACUCCCUUGUUUCUAAAAAGAUGCUUUGCAAAUGAUGGUAUGAGUGACAAUAUGAUUUUGAAUUAGCCAAUACAGAUAGCUGGACUAUUAGAUGGAAGACAUUGUAAAUAGGGCAGAUUAGAAAAAUAAUUGUACUUCUAGAAACGAAGCUUUUGAAACCUUUUCUUUAUUUUCCUGCUAAAAAAUUUGAAGCUACUAAAAACAAAAACACCAUCGUGGCUGACACAGAAGCAAGAAAAGCAUAUUGUAGAGUACCCAAUGUCUAGACUAUCUGUAGGUCUUCAUAUAGCUAUCACUUGAUCAUGACAGGAAAUUAAAUAAUAUUUAAUUCUAAGAUUCAUCCAUAUUUAAAAUAAUACAGUGAAAAAUACAGUGAAAACUAGAGUUAUUGCCAAAAUACAUUAGUUAUUUUUUCAACUGAGAAAGCAAUUAAAGGGUUCAUUGAAAAAGGCAUACUUCCUUUUGUGGUCAGUGAUUCCUCAGACCAUUACAUUUCAAAAUGCUUUUCAUAGCUUUUUAAUAAAUAGCUGAAAGGGAAAUGCUCCAUUGUAUGAGUAUCUUAAGUCAACAAUGAAGCUGGAGGAAGAGAAUGAAUAUUUACUUCCACCCAAUUGCCUGUCUCCCAUCAUCAAAACCUCCAGUAGGCAGCUCAUCUUUGACUUUGAAAGAUCUGUGGCAAAAUUAUUCAAUUACUUUUCCUUAUCUACUAAAGGAAUUCUAGAAUUAUCAGGAGAUUAUUGCUGAAAGAUUCUAAAAUUGCAUGUGACUAUCAAAAAUAACCAUUGUACGCUAGGGGAAGAUUUCCUGGUAGACAUCUUAAAGUUCUUAAAGAGUAACGUAAAUGGAGAUAAUGAUGAAGAGAAAUAAGUACCUAACUACUAAUUAUGCUUCUUUCACAGUGUAUUAAAAAUGUUUAUGAUAUAUCCUUAAAAUGAGAAACAACAGGCCUUGUAUGCCUUCAAGCUUAUGGCCUCAGGUGUUAAUUUAAGGACAAUUUACAGUGGUCAACUGACAAGCAAAAGAACUGUAGGAUGGUUUAGGCACCUUUUAAAAAAAUUUUUGAUUUUCCAGGAAAUCAUAGCAGGCAAAGAAAGACGUCUGUAUGCGGAAUAGCAUGUGUUGAGGUUCAGUGGAAUGUGUGAGCCUGCUUCAGAAGUCUUGUCUUAGAAAAAGGUGCAGUGUUUUAUCUUUGAAAAGUAGCUAUCUCACUUUAAAAAGCUCCCCAGAUAUUAUGGAGCUUGUUACCAGCUUUUGUACCUCUAAUACCACAGUAGAAAAAGUAUUUUUCUUGUGUAAACAGAAGCAAGCAGAUUGCAGAAAUGUACAUUUGAUUCUGCUAAGGUUGAUCUUCAAAUUAAACUAAAUUUCAAUUGUAUGUACAAAAGCUUUUAUUAAAUGAUUUAAAGAAAAAGAUAUAUUGAAAUAAAUGAUGUAUUCAGAUUGAUAUUGAGCACAAUUUUAAAGAACGUUCAACUCAAUGAAACCCUUUGCAUUGUGUUUUCUGUACCACCUCUACGCAGACACCACCUCUUUAGUGUGUAUCACUUAGAUAAGAAGAACAGAAGAGAGUUAGAUCUGAGUGCACGGCCUCUUUAUAUUACAUAUAGAAGGAUGAAAGCUCAGCUUUAUGCAAUCUGACUAAAGACACUUAACUAGGACGUCUAUGCACUCCAAGCCUAAGUCAAUGAAGAAAGAUCCAAGAGAGCGCUGAAGACAGACACCAACAACUACCAGCUUGUGCUUUUCUGCAGACUGCUGAAACAUGAACUGCUUAUUUAUAU